UAAUACGGAGGGUGCAAGCGUUAUCCGGAUUCACUGGGUUUAAAGGGUGCGCAGGCGGGCUAUUAAGUCCGUGGUGAAAUCCCGGGGCUCAACCCCGGAACUGCCAUGGAUACUAUUAGUCUUGAAUGUUGUUGAGGUGGGCGGAAUAGGUCAUGUAGCGGUGAAAUGCAUAGAUAUGACCUAGAACACCGAUUGCGAAGGCAGCUCACUGGACAAAUAUUGACGCUCAGGCACGAAAGCGUGGGGAUCAAACAGGAUUAGAUACCCUGGUAGUCCACGCCCUAAACGAUGAUUACUGGACGUUGGCGAUAUGACCGAUCAGCGUCUAUAUAAGCGAAAGCAUUAAGUAAUCCACCUGGGAAGUACGUUCGCAAGAAUG
This 379-nucleotide ribosomal RNA is filed under the name uncultured bacterium. Its description in RNAcentral is "bacterial SSU rRNA". It matches the Rfam family "Bacterial small subunit ribosomal RNA", at positions 521 to 896 of the family's 1533-position model. The record is from RNAcentral.